GACGUAGGAUGCAAGCGUUGUCCGGAUUUAUUGGGCGUAAAGAGUUCGUAGGCGGUUUGUUAAGUCUGAUGUUAAAGACCGGGGCUCAACCUCGGAAAUGCAUUGGAUACUGGCAGACUGGAGUGCAGUAGAGGCUAGUGGAAUUCCCAGUGUAGCGGUGAAAUGCGUAGAUAUUGGGAAGAACACCGGUGGCGUAGGCGACUAGCUGGGCUGUAACUGACGCUGAGGAACGAAAGCCAGGGGAG
This 245-nucleotide ribosomal RNA is filed under the name uncultured Vampirovibrio sp. RNAcentral describes it as "partial 16S ribosomal RNA". It matches the Rfam family "Bacterial small subunit ribosomal RNA", at positions 524 to 768 of the family's 1533-position model. Lineage: Bacteria; Bacillati; Candidatus Melainabacteria; Vampirovibriophyceae; Vampirovibrionales; Vampirovibrionaceae. The record is from RNAcentral.